Molecule: long non-coding RNA, 2257 nt
Organism: Passer domesticus (house sparrow)
Lineage: Eukaryota; Metazoa; Chordata; Aves; Passeriformes; Passeridae
Exons: 5
Source: RefSeq, a predicted model, not a curated record
GGAUCUCGAGGGACUAAGGGGCUUUUCUAUGUAAAGUGAAGGAACAAGUCUAGAAUUUAGGGCUGGGAAGAGCUUUUUGUAUCCAAAAGCUCCUGGUAAAGAAAUCACUAAGUGAAUCCCACCAUGAAAUCACCAUGUGAGGACCAGGAAGGAGUUGCCCUUUGACAUGGAAGUCACUUGCGUGAAGAAAAGAGCAAGGAAGAACAAAUACCUACCUGUGUUCAUCAUCAGGGCACCAGAAUCUCAGAGCCUGUAGCCAACCCUACUGAGUGUAGAAUAUCUUUUCCCUCCCUUCCCACUUAAAAUAGCACCCCAGACCCUCAGGGAUACAAAACAUAAAGAAGCAUCUCCCCUUAGGACUAAGAGCAGAGACCACCUCCCUUCAGGAGGGAUCCACCCAGCACUAAGAAUAUUCUCAGCCUUCCAGAGACCCUUUUAAAGCCCAUCAGGCUCUUGGUGAGCUCCUCCACCUGUGCCAAGGAGGAUCAGCUGCACCCUGCAUCCUCCAUCACACCCUUUGCUCUGUCCACAUCACGUUCCCUUAAAGGGAGCCUACAAAAAAGCUGGUGAGGAACUUUGGACAAGGGUUUCCUUCUGCCAGGGCAGGUGUUUUCCAAAGGGUUUUGGUCUGCAGGGUUGGUGAGUGAGGGGGUCAGGCAUCCCUUCCAAGCCUGCUCCUAUUCCUGCUAAUGGAUGGUGUGCCUUUUUUGGUUGGUGAUGGAGGACAUGGAACUCUUGGAGCAAGUCCAGAGAAGAGCCAUGAAAUUGCUGAGGGGACUGGAGCACUUCCACCAUGGAGUCAGGCUGGGAGAGCUGGGAUUGUUCAGCCUGGGGAAGAGAAGGUUGUAUGGAGGCCUCACAGCAGCUUCCGGGGUCUGAAGAGGCUACUGGGAAGCCGGAGGGGGACUUUUCAUCAGGAACUGGAGUGACAGGACAAGGGGAAAUGGGUUCCAGCUGAAAGAUUUAGACCAAGCUGCAGAAUGGGUCUGGAGAAUGAGCACCAUCCCCUUGGAGAGGCACAAGGACACCAGGCACCAAGACUCUGUCAGCUGAUGUUCCACUGGUGCUCUUCCAUCCAGGAACGCCUUCACCCACUCCGUGUCCAUCACUGGAGACCCCGAGUCACCAAAGGACUGAAAAAUGUCCUUUCUCCCCAGCUUCUGCACAGCUGCUCCCAGGCUCCAGAGUCAAGGAGCUGUGAAUUCCAUGCUGGUUCCCAGCCAUGCUCCUUCCCAUCUCCUCCCAGCAAGGACCAUGUUGUCAUCACUGGUGGCAAUGUCCCCACGUCCCACCUGUUCCCAACCCACAUGGCACAAGCAAGAAUCUUUAAUUCUCCUCCAAAAGAAGCUUCCCAGUAAAAGAUGUGGUCUAAACUGGUGAGGACAUCAAAUGCAUGGUCUUGGUUUUAUUUACAUGACUGAGCCAAGAAGAUAAAUUCCUCAAGGCCAAUCCAUGUCAUUUGUGUCCAGCUUCAUCCCCAAAUUAGUUCUGUUAUUAUGCAGUGCUAGAAAUUUGCCUUUGCCUGGAAUUUAUCCCCACUCUCUCAUUUUUUCUUUGUUAUUUAAUAUUUCUAUGUGGAAGAAAAACAUGCCCUGCUUCCACCAAGAGGGCAGAGAUGGAUACCUGGAGUUGAUCUGGUGGAACGUGGGGGGCUCGGGAACUUUUUUAAUGUUGGAUUUAAGAUCAAUUUUAGCCAUUAUUUGCCAUAUCAAAGUUUAUGAGCUGUGCACAGAAACUUAAUUGCAUCAGAUUUUUCUGUCAGGAGCUAUGCUUUUCUGUCAGAUUUUAUCUCACAACAAAGAAUGGUUCAUGCACUGCUGCUGGCACAUAAGAAUUCAUGAGCAGCUGCUGGGGGAUAACAUUUUCUCCAUCAGCUGCUGAACUUUUUACCUGUACAGAGCAGUGUUGCCAUUGUGCUAGCACAAGAGUAGGGAAGAAAACACCUGAAAACAACCCCAAAAGGACUCUGUUGCACAGAAUUAAGGUCAUUCCAUAAUCAUGCUCCAUCUUAGCCAACUCCCACCAAAAAAAAAAAAAGAAGUGAAAAUAAACUCCUUGAUUUUAUACAUCACUCAUGCUGUGUGCAGAGGUUGUCACACAGUUGUUAUCCCUUACACAGAGAAAAAACCUCUUCAUUAUGUCCCUUCUGUUGGACACAAGCUGCUGCUGUACUAAACCCUCAAUAUAUGCAGCAGAAGGGCAAAUAUAGCAAUAUUUCAUGGAAUAAAGCAAAUAUUCCAUGUGCAAAGUUGUCAGU